UCGCUCUCCUACACCUCUUCAUUCAGGUCUCUCUCCCCCAUCCUCCUCUCUAUCUACCUAGAUUCCCUUCAUGAACCAGCUCGGGAAUAAGCAAUAUAAUGAUGUUUAUAUAUUUUGGUAUUUCCUCUGUAGAGAUGGACGGAUUUGUGUAUUUCCCCUGUAGAGAUGGACGAGGGUGCCGAGGCAAGAUGGUUCCAUGUGCACUAUGUGCUUCUAAGAAGAGAUAUGGAGGACCAGUUUUUCCCUGUAAUUCUUUCACUACAACUGAUGUCGGGAUUGGUAUUCUUGCAAUCUUACCUGAAGGGACUGCACGUACAUGGCCAAGGAUAGGGGACUCAUCAUGUUUGGUUGUGGGGACUCAUCAUGGUAUCUUGAGGGAAAAGGUUUAGAAAUCCAUUAAAACUGAAUCUUAGGU
Molecule: long non-coding RNA, 415 nt
Organism: Lolium rigidum
Lineage: Eukaryota; Viridiplantae; Streptophyta; Magnoliopsida; Poales; Poaceae
Exons: 4
Source: RefSeq, a predicted model, not a curated record